UACGGAGGGUGCAAGCGUUAUCCGGAUUCACUGGGUUUAAAGGGUGCGUAGGUGGGUCUGUAAGUCAGCGGUGAAAUCUCCGAGCUUAACUCGGAAACUGCCAUUGAUACUAUAGGUCUUGAAUCAUCUGGAGGUGAGCGGAAUAUGUCAUGUAGCGGUGAAAUGCUUAGAUAUGACAUAGAACACCAAUUGCGAAGGCAGCUCACUACGGAUGUAUUGACACUGAGGCACGAAAGCGUGGGGAUCAAACAGG
This 253-nucleotide ribosomal RNA is filed under the name uncultured bacterium. Its description in RNAcentral is "partial 16S ribosomal RNA". It matches the Rfam family "Bacterial small subunit ribosomal RNA", at positions 524 to 776 of the family's 1533-position model. The record is from RNAcentral.